Molecule: long non-coding RNA, 423 nt
Organism: Panthera uncia (snow leopard)
Lineage: Eukaryota; Metazoa; Chordata; Mammalia; Carnivora; Felidae
Exons: 2
Source: RefSeq, a predicted model, not a curated record
CCCUGAGGUCACACAGCCGGGAGUGCAGUCAGGCCUUGAACCCCGAUCUGUGGUUCAGCCGUCUGCAGAAAACCCACGCAGCCUGGAAGCUCAGAAGAUACUGGCAACAAGCCUUUAACCAGAGAAGACAGCGGGAUGGGCCCAGAGCUUAGGGAAGAGGAAAGGCCUGACCAGCUGGGAGCUCCGUGGGAACGUCUCUUGCCCCCCAACCCCACCCCACCCCAGAAGGUGUCCUCAAGUCUCAGGAAGGAAAAACAGUCAAGCUGAACCCACCAAGACCGUCUCCAAGGGGCCGGGGCUGGCGCCUGGCCAGGACUGACAUCACCUGGGAACUGCCGAGGCCCGCAGCUGCAACACGCCUCCUGGGGGGACGUGCUUUGGCUAUUUUAAAAAAAUAAUAAUAAUAAAAAAACGUUUCCAGUC